UGCACCAAACGAGGACAAAGUUCCACGAUAUUGACUUAAUUUUGGCUCUGGAAGUGAAUGUGUGUUGAAAGUAGAUCCAAUAGAUGAACUCAGUAUUGGUAAAUAUGUGGUCUCCGUGACUACUCCUUCCUAUAUCCUUGCCAACUGCCAAGAGUUGUGGCCUUCCCUGUGUUAGAUACCUGUGGUUGCAAAAUUGAAGCUAAUCCGGGUAAAUUAGAGUGGGUUGUUGGGCUCAUGAUACUGGCAAUGAACUCU
This 255-nucleotide long non-coding RNA is filed under the name Trifolium pratense (red clover). RNAcentral's name for it is "long non-coding RNA (TPRA_LNC006507)". Lineage: Eukaryota; Viridiplantae; Streptophyta; Magnoliopsida; Fabales; Fabaceae. The record is from RNAcentral.